Molecule: ribosomal RNA, 253 nt
Filed under: uncultured bacterium
Lineage: Bacteria
Description: partial 16S ribosomal RNA
Rfam family: Bacterial small subunit ribosomal RNA
Source: RNAcentral
UACGUAGGGGGCAAGCGUUGUCCGGAAUCAUUGGGCGUAAAGCGCGUGUAGGCGGCUCGGUAAGUCCGCUCUGAAAGUCCAGGGCUCAACCCUGGGAUGCGGGUGGAUACUGUCGGGCUCGAGUCCGGAAGAGGCGAGUGGAAUUCCUGGUGUAGCGGUGAAAUGCGCAGAUAUCAGGAGGAACACCAAUGGCGAAGGCAGCUCUCUGGGACGGUACUGACACUGAGACGCGAAAGCGUGGGGAGCGAACAGG